Molecule: long non-coding RNA, 24947 nt
Filed under: Musa acuminata (dwarf banana)
Lineage: Eukaryota; Viridiplantae; Streptophyta; Magnoliopsida; Zingiberales; Musaceae
Description: long non-coding RNA (MACU_LNC001047)
Source: RNAcentral
CACUUGAAUGAUAAACUUCAAUUAUUCUACAUAAAUAUGUCAACAUUGAUAUCCACUCACAAGAAAAAAAAAGGUAUUUGACAUCUUUUUGAAAGAAGCACAAGCUUUGAAACUAUUUCAUGAGAAACUAAUAAUCCUUUCUGAAAAGAAAGAUAAAUAAUUCUUUCCAGAAAAUUUGAGACAGGAGGCCAUAUUCUUUAAUUCUGUCAAGUCAUCAUUUCAAUAGGAUAAAUAAGCAUAAAAGAUCAUAAAAUUAAACAUACAUAAAUGUGCCACCUUUGCUUUUAGAAAGUACCCACUAGCAAAAAAAAAAAGUUGGGAAUCUUCAGGAGAGAAAGUAGAAAUUUGGAAACUAUUUCACUGACUACCAAAAAAAAAAAAAUAUUUUUACAUAUCUAUCAUUUUAAAUUUUAGAAAUAGUGUAUUGCAUAACCAUCCAAAAAUUUAUAUUUUACAUGUGUAUUUAAGUAUAUUAUAUAUGUUCCUCCCAUUCAUAUCCAUCCAAUAAAUUCAAAUCUACUACUUCCAUGAUUCAUUUGACACCUUUCAUAUUUUAAUAUUUUUUCAAUAUCAUUAUACUAAAAAUAUAUGAUAGAGAUAUAUCUAUAGGCUUUUGAACUUAUAUGACAAAUAUAUUCACAUGCUUAACUUAAUUUUAGAGGGAUAAAUAAAAAAAUCAUUAAGGAUACUAAUGUUAAUCAGAUAUCAAGUGCAAUGAUAUAUGCUAAACUUAAAUUUAGAGAGACAAAGAAAAAAAAAUAUAUAUGUAAUUUUUCUAAAGAAAAGGAGAUAUUGUGAGCCAAUCAAAUAGAGAUGAGAGAGAGAGAGAGAGAGAGAGAGAGAGAGAGAGAGAGCCACCCUUUUCAUCCCCUUUCUCCAUUUGGCCAGUCGGUGAGCCAAUUUAAUGCUGUAAACACUCCAAAGACUGACUUAAUUGGAACACCACAGCACUAUGAAUUGGUCAAACACUGAGCACAAGCAACCCAUUUUUGUGCAGUGAUGGUGGCAAAAGCAAUGGUGGGAUUGGAAGACAAAGGUGAAGAGCAGAAUCAAAUAACGCCACCCCGAUGCCACAAAGGAACUCGUGGCUCAGAAUCCCCUCCUCCCUGCUCACGUGGCCUCCUUCUUCCUCCUUCCCCUUCCUCCUCUGCUAAACCCCGCGACGGCUGAGAAAAGAACACGAGGAGGCGAGCUGAGACAGAGCACUUGAACAGGGGAGACAAAAACAGGGGAGUCCAGAAGAUGUCAGAGAACAGAGAAAGCGCGAUCAAGCUCUUCGGCAUGACGAUCCCCCUGCAGCUUACCAGCAGCGGAGACGACGACGAGGUACUUCUUCUGGCCUGCUCGGUGAUCUUAUAGGUGUGAAUGAUGAUUUGACUUGUGUCGAGAGAACUGCAAAGAUCGGAUUUUUGAGUUCAAAGGUUGCUCCUUUCCUUCACGCCGAGUUUCGGGCAGCAAUACUUGCAUCGAUUGUUGUUGAUCAGCUAGGUUUUUUUAUGGAAAUCUUCGAGAUUUGUCUUUGAUUUUAAUUGUGAGCUGUGAAUUUUUUGAAUCUCGGUGAUGAUCCUCCAUUGAUGUGAGAAUAAAUCACUUUUGUGCUUCGGUCUCAGGAUGUCGACAAGGAAGACGCUACUGCUACAUCACAAGAACCAGAGUCGCAGGACAAGAACGAGUCCGCCACAUGUUCCAGCGAGAUCCAUAAACCAGUUUCCGCCGAUCAAGAAGACGCGUCGUCGACGAAGAACCCCACGAAGACGGCGGCCGAAGGUGUGAAGAAGACGGAGAAGAUCCUCCCUUGUCCUCGGUGCAGAAGCCUCGACACCAAGUUCUGCUACUACAACAACUACAACAUCAACCAGCCGCGGCACUUCUGCCGGAACUGCCAACGGUACUGGACCGCCGGGGGCACCAUGAGGAACGUCCCUGUCGGAGCCGGUCGCCGCAAGAGCAAGCACUCCUCCCACUGCCGCCUCCAAGCUCUUCGGCCCGACACCCACGAACCGGUCCAUUACACCUCUCUGAGGCCAAACGGCACGGUUCUCAGCUUCGGCACGGAUGCGCCGGUGGCAGAGAAGGCGAACGGCUGCAACAAGAACAGUGGUGAUGAGCUGCAACAGGAGAACGAAGGAUCGACCGCUCCAGUUCCUUGUUUCAGUGGAUCUCCCUGGCCGUAUCUUUGGGCGCCGGCUCCGCCUCUCUGUGCUUCGACCUUUCCAGUUGCGUUCUACCCGGCUGCGGCCUACUGGAGCUGGAGCAUCCCAUGGCCGUCUUCCUUACCUCCUUCCUCCCCUAACUACAGAGGAUUAGGAUCCAGUUCUACUGCCUCAGGCAAGCACUCGAGGGAUGCAAGCAUGAUCGAGAGCAGCAUUCACAAAACACCGAGGAGGAUCGAUGACCCGGAAGAAGCCGCAAAGAGCAGCAAGAUCGACGCAGUCAGCAACGGAGGGCUCCUCAAGGCCUUCCAGCCUAAGCUAUACGUCAAGAACCAAGUGCUAGAGACACCAUUACUGGUGCAUGCCAACCCUGCGGCACUCUCUCGAUCUCUGCACUUCCAGGAGACCUCUUAGAGCAGCAGAAUCUCUGCAAAGCGAACUCCUAUAGACACACACAGGUAGAAACUGAGUUUGGCCAGGCAGAAACAAGUAUCCUCAGAUUGAUGAGAUGUAACAGUAGGAAUUGUUCUGCUAAGUAUUAUUCUACAUGUCAAUAGGUGAGCUGUGUUAGUGAGAGGUUCAUUUGUACAUCAAUAACUCUUGCAAACUUGAUCGAGAAGAAUGAUAAUGAGUGGCUGCUUGCUUAGAUUCUCCUUUGAUUUCUGUACCUAUUUGGAUAAGCAUCAGUUUAUGUUCUGGAUGCUACAAGAACAGCCAGAAAGAAAUUGGAUCCAAAGCUCAGAUGUCAUAAGAUAUGUCUAAAUAAUAGGCAAUGCCAUGAGUGAGAAGCUAACAAAGAAGAAUCAUGCUGAGAAGAGGACUGAGAGCAUAGUCCACAAGCAAAUUAUCGAAAAUUUAAUAUGUUUGAUUAUUGUUUGUUCAUCUUAUCAGUAGAUAUCCAAAAUAGAUUUAUUUUCCAACAGCCAAAGAGAUGUUUUGGUAAUUGCUACAUAUAAUCAAAUUCGAGUAAUUUCAUAGUAAGGGAGGUAAGUCGGAUUUAGUUGGCUUUUGCAUAACCUCAUUUUGUAAGAGAUACUGAUGAUAUUUAUUUGUUGUGAUAAUUAUUCAUCAAUCAAACUAUAAAAGAAGUAAACACAUUGACAUCCAUUAUUACUUCCUAUAAGAUCUAACGAAGAUUAAAAUUGUUGAUAUAUCAACGAAGCUUAAGUUUUUAGAUUGAAUUCAUACUUAAUCUAUCUUAACUCAUACUUAGAAGAAGCAACUGCAACCACUGCUGAAUGGGGUGAGAGAAAAGGUUGGGAAGAAGACAAUGGCAUAGAUGACAUGAAAGAUUCCUCUUAAUUAGUCCAACUAUUGUCUCAUUGAGGGUAGAGCUGAAUUCCUGUCACAUUCAGCCAAGCAUCUAUCUAUCUUCUGCCAAAAGAUGGAGAAAAGAGAGGAGGGAGAUGAUAAUGGAGAUUUUUCUCUCUCUGUCUCUUGUUUUUUUCUAUAUGCUGUAAUGUUCUGUAAAGAUAAUUGUAUAACAUCACAGGAAAUUGGACUUGAAGCAACCAUCUUCAUUGAAGAAAUAGUUGGAUCCACCAAUUGCUUAGCAGCACAGUUCAUUCCUAUUAUGUUAAGCAUAAUAAAAGAAAUGUUUAAAUACAGUGGAGGAAGAAGAAUUCUCAGUCAGUCAAAGGGUUGAGUCAAAAGUCAGCAGAACAUGAAAUGAAAUGUUCAACCACUUUGAGAUUGUGGUUUCUGUCUCUUGGAAUUUUGGAACCUGACCUAUAUCUUUCUCCAUUUAUCUACUGGUUGACUAUCUUACUCAGGUCACCAUGUUUGACCUUGGCAAGAGUACUCUCACUGUCUUACUCUACAUCAGAUUAAAUGAGGAAGCAAUGGGUGAGUAGGGCAGUGCCUUCAGCAUUAUUGUUAUUGCUGGUAGGCACUCAAGCACUAGCUUCAGUCAACUCCUCUGACCUCUGAAUUAUGGUCAGACAGGUGAAGAAAAUGAUCAGAUAAAUGCAAGAAGUAAUAACCAAUCAUGAUUUGCUGCAAUAUGUCAUUCAUUAUUUAGAAUUCCUAAAUAAUCAAGUCAACUGAAAUAAAAAAAAAUUAUCAAAAAACUUAAGGAUUCAAAAUCUCAUUAAACAAAUUUUAGUACAGUAAUGAUAUGUUCAAAAUCAAAAUUUUGAAUAUAUUAUUUAGCUUAGGUUGAUUGCAGCAUGAUCUUUAAAGAUUUGUGAUAAAGGAUGUCUCCCUGUUUGGCCCCACACUGUGGCCUGUUUUAGGUCAUUGAUCAAAAGAGGUCAGCUUCUUUUUGACUUGAUGAGGUUUCACUUACAAUUAGGACAAAUGCUUUGUCAUCAAGUGAUUGGAAGGUUCAUUUGUGAUUGAAGCACUCAACCUCACAAAGUAGACCACUUUGGCAAAGCAUGGCUGCACUUUCCAUCAAUGGCAGGAUAAAGUUGCAAGCAUGGCUCAAGUGACCUCUCACUGUGGUAACUUAGUGGAAGGAAAAAUUUUGAGAAGAUGGAGCAUGACAAGGGGAACUAUAGAACAAACAAAAUACAAACAACUCAUGCUUUUUGGUGUCUCCUCUGUCAGUGUGGUGUGCAUGCAAACAAAAAGAUAAGAUGGAAGAACAAAGAAUGACCUAAUAAUCAUUGUAAGCUCCAGCGAUUUAAAGUGUUUUGCACAGAUCUUGGCUUGUUUUUUUCCUUUGGAGUCAAAUUUGUAUGACUUGUAGCUUUGAUCCCUGUCUACAUAUAUGCAUACAACUUUAUUUUUAUGUGUAAUACAUACAGGCUGAAGUCUAAUUUGGAAGUAACUAAAAAAUAAUAUUUUUUCUCUAAUUUAAAAAAUAAUAUUUCUUCUCCAAUAAAAUUCUAUUAUAAGAUAUCAUGAAGAAAAAGGAUUAUGUUAAAUCACUGAUAAUACAUACUUUUAAUAUAUCAAUUAUUACUGUCAAAAUCUCGACAAUAGUAAUAAUAUCAAAAAUAUUUAUGUCUCGAAAUCGAUUAUACGAAUGUUUUAUAGUUAUUAAGUUAUGUUACGAUAAUUUAUUAACUCUAUUUAUCAAAAAAUAUUUAUGAUAAUUUGAUUUAAUGCUAUUUAUUUUAUUUUAAAACCAAUCUACCCAACUAUUUUUUUGAUAAAAAUAAUUUAAUCAUUUUAUAUAAAAAAUAGAUAAAUUCUCAAAAAAUACUCCUAAUUUGAUAAAUUUGUGUAGAGCACUUUUCAAAAAUUCUUAUGGUAUGCUUCAUCAUUCGUAAAAAAAAUGAUUUUAUCCCUGCUCUUUUUAUCUUUGGUCACCUCCACGUGUGUUCCCUCCAUCCUUCAUUUAUUACCCUCGUACCCCAUAGCUACAUAUGUCGUCGUCGAUUGUCAUGUCCAUGACGAUCGUAGAGGACAAAGAAGGAUUGUCGAGAAUCACCUCUGCCUUGACACACGAGCCUCUAAUCUUCUCCACAUAGAGGCACUUUGUCCUUGUUCGCCCUUAGCCAUUGCCUUGCAUCGUUAUUCUAUCCUCCCUUCUUUCUCUACCGCCAUCGUCAUCCUCGCUCGCUGUCUCUUUCGUUAGAUACGACAAUAUGAAGAACGAAGAUGACCAACAAAAGAUUAGGGGGAUGAGAUCCCAUAUACGAAGGUACAAAUGAUUAGAUUAGGGAUAAAGAAAAAAAAAUCUAUCUUUUUAAAAGAUUAGGUGUUCUCUAACAAUUUUUGAAAAUAGGAACAUUUCGUAAAAAAUUUCUCAAACCUACCGACUAUUUUUUCAUAAAUUUACCCAAACAGAAUUCUUGGUGGGUAAAAUGAAUAAAAAAACAAACUUCAAAUUUCGAACCAAAGAAGAGAGAGAGGAGAGAGAGAGAGCGAUGAGGUCCUUUUGCUCUCGAUAAGCACCGCCAUCCCUCUCCCUGGUCUCCGACUCCAUCACCGAUCGCUUCCAGUUCUUCUAUCCCUAACUCUAAUCCUGAUGCUCACAGGUUCUCUGCUUAAUACCAGACGCGGGCUUCGGCAGCAGCGAGUGGCUCCAACACGCCGACCUCGCGGAGGCGGCGCCGUCAUCCGCCACCAUCUGGUUGGAGCCUGACACCUGACCCAGACAUGAAUUCGAGACUGAAGCGAAGUUUCAAAUCGAAUCCGGGCUCGGAUUCAAUGCCCUUAUAUCCGGAUUCCUUGGGCGUCGUACCCCUGCCUCGUUUGUUCCCCAUCGUUCCUCGGCCUUUCGGUGUCUACGGUGAUUGCUUAAUCUCCCCAUUCAAGUACGCGAUGCACCGAUCUCUUACUCUAAUUUGCUUCUGAUACUUUUUACUUCAAGAUAUGAUGAUUGCAAGACUCCUAAGACAUCUAAUGUUCUAAUUCUUUUUCUCCCUCGUGUUGUCACUUCUCUUUCCUGUCUACACAGUAUGUUUUGGCAAAAUCUUGGCAAAGAUUCAACCUUUGCAAGACCCUCAUGACAUGUUAUGUUCAAGAUUCUGAUUUUGUUCCUCCGUUUUGCCUCGAGUUGGCAGAACGCUGAGAGAGAUCUAAAUUUUAGUUAUAUAAGCUUCUGAUGAUGUCAAUUAUAAGAAGAUUACAAGAUACUCAUGACAUGUUAUGUUCAGGAUUCUCUUACAAUCCUCUCCGUUUCUUCUUCAGAUUUUAAAAAAGUUUUCAAUUAAUUAGUGAUGGAAUUUUGGAUUCCGAGCAGCAGCAGUAAUUUAAUCUUGAUGCAGCUUGGGAGACCUCCGAUAGCUGCUUGUAUAUGAUUUGAAGGAAGAAGAGAGAAUUAUCACCAUACUUCAUUAUUUGAGAAUGACUUAAGCUCAAGCUGGAAAUGCCGGUCUGCCCUGCAUGAACUUUCUUAGAAUGGCAGCUGUGCCUGUUCUAGAGCGACUACAUUUAGAGGAAAGGCUUCUCAGGACCUCAGCAGACAACUGGUGUAUAGUUAACGAUGGGACAAUUCAUCUUGCUAUAGUUAUGGCUUAUGGGAGUCUCUGGGUCAAAUUGUGUUUCAUAGCAUAUUUAUUUGUUGUUUCCGUGUUCUUUUGAUCUCUUUUGGUGUGCCUAUAACUAUUUAUAUCUCUCUUCUUGCAUGAUAUGGCUACCUAAAGAUUGUGUUUGGGGCUAUUAAAAGAAGACUGACCAUCAGCAUGAAAUUAUAACUUCAGGAGGCCUUCAGAACUAAUUUAACUGAAGUCUGUGCUUCAUGAUCAAAUUCCUGUAAUUAGAAGAUACAGUGGAGGUGGUACUGUUAUUGUUGAUGAUGGAACAAGUUUGUCAACUUUAUCUGCAAUAAAAAUGCUAUUCCGGGGCUGCAACCAUAUCCUCGCCCUAUAUAUCAUGGACCGGCCAAUUGUAUGGCGAGGUGCUUCAUGGAUUUGGUGACUUCCAUCUCUGUGAAAAUGGUAUGCAGGAUGAAUUUAAGCUACUUCAUUACACGCUCAGCAUUAUUUGGUAUUUAAAUUGUCUUUACAUGUAUGAUUUCCUUAUUUCUUCGCUUGUAAAUUUCAACAUCUGCUUGUCGCUCACCUGCCAUUUUUUAUAAAUGGAAUACUGGUUCAUGAUACUUUUGUAAACUAAACUUAUCAUCAUAGGAUAUAUUGUGAUACCUCUAACAAAAAGAUGCUGAGAUGCCAACUGAUUCUGAGUAAAUUGGUCUCUUUCAGAUGUUUGUGGAUUCUAUUUCAACCUUAAUUGAGCAGAUGUAGUUGUUUUUCUUUUUGUCAAAGCUAAACCAUACUUAAACUUUGAUAUGUAGUUCUUGGUGACAUUCCAAAAAGAUCAUGGGAAUAUCCCUCUGGCACUUACAAUUAUAUUUAUGGAGGUUCAUUUUGCAUUUCAAAUAACUUGAGAUGACUUGUUUAUCACACUCACAAUUAUCUGAAAAGUCAUGAAAUUAAGACUCGUAUCAAUUAUCUUGUUUAUGAGAACGAAGCAUCUCGUAUUGUCAGAUUGUGUUGUCAUUUAUCUAUUAUCAUAUCUCUUAAAAUGAUAUUCCUUUAUCCUUAUUUUCAGAUUAUGCAUUUAAUAACCACAAGUUUGGUGGAAAUGGUCAGUCCAUAAUUAAAGAGUGAUGGAUCCAUCACACCAUUUCUAUGGGAUUAUGAUAUAUAGAAUAUGGAAUACUUGAAGCUUGCCUCCUGUGCUCUGAAAUAUCGAUCGGUAUAGCUCUAUAUCAGUCUAUUUCUAUUGGAAAUGUGAACAUUCUUAUAAUUGAUGCUGAAAUUUUCCUUUAUAACUGCCUUAUAUUGAUCAUUAUUUCAAUAACUUGUUAAAAAAAAUGAUCUUUGUGUUACUUAAGGGGUAUUAUAUUGUCAUUUUGGAAAAGAAAAGUUCUAUUUGUUCCCUCAAAAAAAAAAAAAAGGUGACUUGUCAGUUUCCUGAUAAACUGCAUGUACAAGUUUGAUGGUGAGAUGAUUUCGAUACGAGUGUUGAGUUGACUAGCUAAGUGAUUGUAACACUUGAGUCCUCUGUUCAUCCAACUUACACAGGGUGUGAACUAUAGUUGUCAUCCCUCAAGGUUAUGCCACUUGGUAAAAGUAUCAAAUCUUUGUUCAGUUAUAGAUCAUCACAUGAAUGGCAUUAUUCUUUAUGCUGCAAAACCCACCAAAACUCUGGUGGUUAUUGCACUUUGUAUGCAUGUUUGUAUGUCGAUUCCUAUUAGAUUUUUGCUAUCAUCUUCUGUCAGUUUUUUCCUCAACUUUUUUUGUUGUUGAAGCUCUGCUCCAUGUAUCAAAUGUAAAUUAUUUUCUAGUCCAAUAACAAUUUUUACAUUCAAAUUUAAGAUAGAUGAUCUGGUUAUCUGAAUGCUAGUAAUCUGAAUUCUCAAUGCUUCCUAUAUCAGACACGAUCUCAUGUUAAAUUCUUGUGCCGAAUGAAAGAACAUGCCCCAUCUAGAUCAACUUUUAUAGAAAGAACCAUCAAAUCUCUUGGAAGCUAUUUCUUAAUUAGACCAUUUCAGCUGGAUGAAAUCGCAGGUCGUCCCAGCACUGUCUUUGAUCAGGAGCUGAAGGAUGCACGUUCAUCACAGUGCGAGGACUCAAGAUUGCUGGCUUUGAUCAGGAUCACAUCCUGAUAACUCAGUAAUGGCUCUCAGAUUCUCUAGUGUUCUGUUUUAUUUCAUGUCACAGCAAUGGAGGCCUGAUGGCAUGUAUCUCUCAAAACAUUUGAGGCACUGUCGAUGAAAGUUAAUAUGAUAUGUCGUAAUAAAUUGAUUUGGUGAUUAUAAUCUUUUAUGUGCCAUGUCAAAUUUCAUUAUAUAUCUGUCUGCCAGUUUGAUUUCGAUCAUACGAGUCUCUUCAUGUGAUCAUGAUUUUAUUGGUGUUGAUGUUAUAACAGAUUGUUUUAUGUACUGAACGAUCGUUGGACAUAUGUAAACCCUGCAGGCAUCAGCACAAAACAGGUUUGUAUGUAAACCCUGCAGACAUCAGUAACUAUUUUGCUCUCCUGUAGAAGAUAACAUCAUCACAGGAAGCAAACCCUCCCAAGGAGGAACAUAUCUGAAGCCUGAUUCAGGUUAUGAGCACUUGUAGAAAAAAAUGUAUCAUACUUAAAUCCAGAUAACUAAGUUUCUAAGAAUAUUAUAUUAGGUGCAAGUGGCAUACAUACCAAGAUACAAGCAAGGGUAACAAACUUGCUUCAGAUACAAGACUGGGAAUGCCCGAGGAAACCUACCCAUGAGUUAUGAUUUGAAGCCAAUACACUUCCAGAAUGACAUGUUAAAGUUUUAGGGCAUCACCAACACUGAAAAACCUGAAAAUGGAAGCACAUUCCCAUGCCCUAAUUUAAAGCUUUUACAAAAAAAUCACCCGGCGCACUCAAACUUCACAAUAACUGCGAAACCAUGACACAAAAGAAGCGACCACAACUGCCAGUCAGACAAACCGGUUCACAUUUUGUUCAUGGAUUGACUACUUGGGGAAGCAUGGCUUUUAUGUUCCUACUUGUGACACGGCUGCACCAUCUUGUUAGACAUGGCUAGAUGUCUGAUGACGAGGAGCACCAAGAUGUUCCUUGACCCACUCGUAUUCCUCCUUGAAAACCAUUGGAUGGACAGAGCCCACUUUUCUUCAAAUUCUCUGCUCGUUCCUUGGCCGAAUUUCCCUUCAAUGACAGCUGCCUCUUGAGACGGUUCCGACUCGACAAAAUCAUCUUACUCUGGUUUGGCGUGUGUAAAGCCCCUUCUACACAAUCUCCCACCUGUGUGCAGCUCCACAUACUCGAAGGCCCUUCUCCCCUUGGUGAUCUUAACCUUGGAAUUCUAUUUCUCGCCAGGCAAACCGCCCACUGGUCUGGAACAUUCUUGUCUGGCUUCGUGCAAAGCGGGCAAGGCGGAUCAUGUUUGUACGUCUUAGGUGUGACCCGCUCUAAGCAUUCAGCAUGAUACACAUGCCCACAUGACAGGACACUAACUACUGGCAUAUCUCCGCUACGAACAAUCCGGCGAGAACCCCAUGGUGAUCUUUGAGACAAUAACCUCUCACAAAGUCCACAUUUGGAAACCUCAGGCACAGCAUUAUAUGGAUAACCCACCUCAGGUUCCAAUUGUUCAGAGAUGCCUGUGAAGUCAACACUGCCAGUGCUACUCCAACGCACUGAUUCCCUUGGAAGGUUGGCACCAAUCUCUGAGAACCAAAGAGAAUGAAGCUCUGGCAGCGGUCUGGUGGACCUAUGAUCAGAAUGUAGACUGCUGCUGGAGAUUGUAGAACCAACAGUAUGAUUUUGUUCUUCAAUUCCAGUAAUGUGGUCAGGGAAUGAUACAGGAUGAAUGGGCUUUGACAUGAAAAACCGAUGAUUGGAGAAGCUGCGGCGGGCAGAACUGUGGGAUUUUGAUAUAGGAUCAUAUUCACUGCCAUCUGAACGGGAAGAAAUGGAACCAUUAAAAGAUGAGAAUCCUAGAGUUCCCUGCAGGACCAGAGCACAAAUUAGUCCAUAUUGUAGAAACUCAGCAUAAUACAGGAUAUAUUAUUUGUGCUCAUCGCAUUGCAGUUGAAAUACCUCCACCAAUGAUGAGAUCAGAGGUCCAGACGCUGGAUCUGGUAAUCAGUGAAACAGCUUUCAGUUGAAGAUAUAUCAUUAACAGAAUUUCAAGAUACAUAUACAGAUUACAGAUAUGUAGUAUGCAUAUGCUUUUGGCAGUCAAAACAUGUCCAGAUCAAAUUGUAUGAUAUACUACGGACAAAAUUGUCAAUGGAAUAACAGGAAGCAUAAUAUCCAACCAAGAUAAAGCACAUGAAACAGUCAACUGAUAAAUCACAGGGAAAUGAAUCUAAUUAGGGAUUAGAAUGAGCCAAUAAUAGGUCAAGCUUGAGCCUCAUGGGUUCCAAUUCUUGUUUUAUGCUUUUCAAGUACAUCCAUAAAUUUUCAUCAUGUUCUCUAGCUGUUUAAAGGAAUUAUACAAAAUGUAUUUUAGGCAAUAUCAAACCAAGAUAGCAAAAUAGUCCCCAUGUUCUUGUUAAGAUUAGUUUUAUAAUACUAAAGGAUCCAGGUGCCCUAACAUAAAGGGAAACAUGGAAGAGGUGCACUAGCAGCUGUCUUUUAAAAUACUCCCAGAGUUUCCAAGUUUUCUCCGAGACUUCAUUUGAUAUCAAAUCUGAAGAAACCUAAUAGCAAGGUUCAAAAUAUUGGAGUCAGUCCAAAAUUGAUAUUGGACUCUGGGAUCAAGAAAAGACUGUUGAGUCAAAAUUGAUUAAAAUCAGAUUUAGUCCAGUCAGGCUGACAGGUAACAAUCAGUAUAUGCUGGCUCAGCUAGGAGAAAAAGGAAUCAUCAUUUUCUGCUGAAAUUGGCUACAUAUACCGAGAAACUGUUAGCUCAAGGAUGGCAGGAAUCACCUUAAGAAUGGCUAGGAUCAAUCAAUAACAAAAAAGUUGAAUAAAAUUGGCUGGAAAUGGCUAGGACCACAGUGGACUGAAAAUAUCUCAUCCCAAAACAUCUUGAAUUUUAUGGCGAUCAAAUCAGAUCAAGUCCAAUACAAAUUGGUCAAUUUUUAAAACUCCACUAAUCCCACUUGCAACCUCCGGUUCCACCCCAGAGAUGAAUUAAUUUUAAGCAGAUGUCCCUGGUUCAUCACAGUCAAUGUUACUAUUAAUUUAGAAUUGCUAUGUUUUAUAAUGAUACUAAUUAGAACCACCAGCUCACUGCAAUCUAUUGUAGCACAAGGACAAAACUUAUAGUAGCAGAACAUGUACCAUGCUACCAACCAACAAACAGAGCAGUGGGAUUAAUCUAGAAGUUCAAUCCUAUCCUUCCACUAUGGAGGGCAUGAUCAAAGUUGCUAUUAGUUUUUUAGACAACUGCUUGCCGAGGAGAAGAGAUAGUGGUCAAUAAUGGCAAGCCUCAGUGUUGUGACUUGGUGAUUAUGUAUCAAGUCAUGCAAACUUCUUUGCUCGAGAGUAAGGCUGAAAAUGUUGACACUCGUUAAAUCUUGUGUUGCCACAAGUCUUAUACAUUUGAGUCACCCCUUUUAGAAAAACAACAACAACAAAGCUGAAAACCCCAACUACUUGGGGUCAGCUACAUUGAUCUUUUGCUGCCAUUGAGAUCUGGAAAGAGUCAUAUAUCUAGUUAAGUUUAAAGCAAUUCUAGUUAAGUUUAAAGCAAUUGAAUCUUUAUUUAUAGUUUCUAUUAAAGUCUUUUUAGGUCUUCCUCCAUCUCUCCUCAUACCACUAACGUUAAUCAUUUCAGUUCUUCUACAUCCGUGGGUUUCCUAACCAUAUGCUUAUACCAUCUUAAAUGGUUUUCUCUCAUCAUAAAGCAUUGUUACUCUCACAACUAUCAUAUACUUUUUUUUUAUUCUCAAAUAUAUCCAAUGAUCACACAAGACUCUUGAUUCCUCUCAUCAUUUUAACCAUCCUAUUUUUACUCAAUGAAUAUGUUUUCUUAUCGAUCUAUCCAUCUUGUUGACUAAUUGAUCCAAGAUACCUAAAUUUUUUAUUUAAAAGAACUUUCAGUCCAUCCAACUUAAUUAUAUUUUCUUGUAUAUUCCUAGAAUUACUAAAAUUGCAUCUCAUAUAUUCAGUUUUAGUCCUACUUAAUCUAAAACCUUUAUUUUCUAAGGAUUGAGUAGGAACAUUGAGUGAGGAAAAUAAAGUGGAAGAAGAUUUGGAUAGAUAUCUAUAUAUGGUAUUGCUUUAUCAUUCUUCAACCUCUUAUGUUCCAUCAAUCUGUCUCAUCUUGACGUGCAUGACCCAUCUGGGGGGUUCGUAUAAUGUUCUGAAGAACAGACUAACCAUUAAUCCAAAAUAAAAGGAAGGUAAGGUUUACAGGUUCAACCGAGUCAAACAGGAGGUCACACUGUGUUCGCAGAUGGAAUGCACUUGAAGUAUGCAAGACAGAAAUAAACCUAUCAUGGAAAGGCAUAUAGGAGAUGUCCCUCUCAGAGUCAGCUUAUCAGACAAAGUUGUCGCUCCUUACCUACAAUCCCUUGUAGGCAUUCACCUCACGAUAAACUAUAUUUCAGUUAACCAAUAAAUUAGUUAUGUAGCAUUAAAGAUGUAACAUUAUAGGUAUUGGCGCAAUGACAAUGACUAGAAUACUAUUCUUUUUUGAAAUGUCAAAAAAGUUUGUUUAGUGCAAAUGAUGGUGCAUUCCAAGACAGAAUCUGGAAGCAGAAUGAGUAGUAACUUACACAGAGAAGAUUAGACACACAUAAUGAAUUCCUUAUUAUUUUCAGAUUUCUUCUCUGCAAUAUAUAUCAUAAACGUACCUAUGUCAAUUUGCCACAAUCUCUCCGAUAGCUUUCAGAAUGGUACAAGCAUGCUAUGCUUGAAACACUAAAAAUUUUUCAAGAUAAAUUCACUAAUAGAGAUGCUAAAUCAAUAUAUCAGCUAGCGUCCUUAUGAAACUUGAUGAUAUGCAAAUAAUUGUAUGGUCUAAUCUGCAAUGAACUACAAUACAUUACAAUUUUGCGUUACUUCAAGCAUACAAGAUUUACAGUGGCAAGAUAACAAAUACCAAAGCACUUUAUCCUCAUAACAAAAUACACAAAAUAAAAGCAAUAAUACUCCAAAUUGAAGAGUACCUCCAACAAACUCUUCAACAUUAGCCCCUUGUGUGGGUGCUGGUGUCAAUUGAUGAUUUUGGAAGCUAUCAGAAGGGCUACUGAUAUACGAAAUUGCACCAUCAGAGGCAGAAAAUUGAUGAUUGCCAGGAGAAUCACCCCUCCCCCAGCUCCUGCUACUUUUACUAUUUGAUGAACGAGAUGAUACAUAACGUCCAACUCCACCAUCUCCUUGAGAGCCAAACGAGAGCCCUUCAGAAUGGAAACGAUAAUCCCACCUCGUCGACAAGGGUGGCGAGAUGCUCGAGUUUGUCAGCCAAAAUGGUUCAUUGCGACCCACAGACCAUUCCCUACUGGUGGUGCUAGACCCAUGUGGCCUUGCGGCCACACAGCAAAGCGACCCUAUCUUAGCUAUUAACUUUAAGAUCCCACGAGAAUCAAAAUUCUCUUCUUUUAAUCACUCUAUCACAAACACAAUCAGAAGCACAUCACAUAAAAAUAACCCCUCUCGACUGUACUACACAGAAAUGUAGCAAUCAAAACCACAAAUGACUUGCAGCUUUACCUCCAAUCCUGAAGAAGCAAGUAAAACUGCAUCUUAGCAACCAAAGGAAAGAAGAACACACCUACUAAAGCUCUGUGCAUGUUCCAGAUACUAAACUCUACUCUACUUUACAGAAAUGCAGAACUCAAAACCCUCAAUGAUUUGCAGCUCUAAAUCCAACCCUAAAGAAGCAAGUAAAACUGCAACUUAGCAACCAAGUAAGAAGACUGCCGCGUGCAUGUUUCAGAUACUAAAAUCAAGAAAGGUACACAAAAAGAAAAGCCGAAUCACCCAUAACCCCCAACAAGAUUCAAUCUUUAACCUAAAGAGGCGCUCGAAAUGAUCAGCAGCAAUUGUCGGUGCAGAAAAUAAACCUAAACAGAUGCAAACGGAAACAUCAACAUAAACCCCUCAGACCUACCUUGAAUCUCCACGAUUUCCAGGUUGGAUGAAGAAAUCCAACAUCGACUAAUCCAUAAAAGUCAAAAAACCUUAACAAAUCGAUUUCUUUUCCGUACCAAAGGGAACAACUUACAGGGUUAUCGGAGGACAAAACGGAGCGACAAGAGAGUGCGCGCCAUGGAAACCACAAAAGCAGGGCCGAACAGGAGGCGGAGUCGAAGGGAAACCCAAAAAAACCCUAAUCUUUUAGUAGACGCGAAGCGAAAUAAGAAAGUGGGUUUCAAAGUGGGAGGAACAGAAGAAGAAAAAGGCUAUAAAAAAGACAGUUUUGGAGUGGGAGAGAGUAACAUAAUGAGUAGUAUUCCACUAAUACCCCCUUUUUAUAUUGACUUCAAUAAAAGAGGCUUUACAUAUAUCUAUCAUUGCAAGUCUCCCAAUAUUAUAUUUAUCAUUAUAUGAUUUUUAAUAUAACAUAUAAGCUUAUGUCACUAAUAUCCAUCUAAAAUACUCGAUUUUCUUACUUAAAGUUUGAACAAUAAUAGUUUUAUUUAAUAAAUAUUUUGAUAAUUUAGAUUUUAUAAAAAAUAAUUUUAUUUUGAUUUAUAAAAAUACAUAAAUCAUACAAAAUACCUAAAUUUUCUUUUAAAAUUCUUAUCAUCAUGAUAAUUUUUUAAAGGAUUUGAAUUACCAUUAUUAUAUAUGUAAUCAAAUUUGUUACACUAAAAAUAUCAUAAAUCUAUUUAACAUUGAAUCGAUCGAACUUGUUCGAUUUAAAUCAUAAUUAUAUAUGAUAAUUUUUUUGUUUUUGUGCAUUUUGAAAAUAAGAAUUUUAUUUCUGGAGAAAACUCACACUUAUAUAUAAUGAAAUAUAUACAAAAAAUUAUUGACUUUUGGGAGAGAUAGAAUCAUGUUCUAAAUAUCCUUCUAAAACACUUAAUUUAAUCACUUUUUAACUAUAAAUAAUAAUUUUUUGAGCUACAAAACAUAUAAUAAGUUAUAUAUAUAUAUAUAUAACUUAUUCUAUUAUGCUAUUUCUUGAGCCCGCCCGCUUCGUCAUCGCCACGGCUCCGAAACGCUCCUGCCAGUCGCCGCCAAGACGAAGCGAAGGUCCCAGAGACGAGAGGCGGAUGGCGGCGAACCCGUCGACGUACUCUCCGUCUCAGAGCUCGGAGACCAGGCAGCAGAAGCGAAGACUGUUCCAGAAGACCGAUUGGACUCGGUGCAGGCCCGCUUGUUUGUAUCCUCUCUCUUUAUGUUACGCCCUCGAGUUGUUCGAUGUUUUGCCUACACGAAGAACAUUAGAGGAAUUGACAUUGUGCCGUGCAGCUCUCGGGACGGGCGCUGCCAAUUCUGCCUCAGGAUCUGCUUACCCGGCGUUCGGAGCGACCACGGUCAUCGUAUCCGUGUAAGCAAACUCCGCCAGUGCUCAAAACUUGUGCCUUCUGCGAAAUGCAUUCAUAGAAUUCUCAUUGUUCUGCUCAAAAUUGCGAAUGUCGUAUGGUAUAAGUAGGUAUUUUAUGAAGUGACAUAUCUACUCAAAAUGCCUGCUCGAUCCUUAAUCUAGCAUCUCCAUCAGUCUUGCUUCUCUCCUCUACAACUAGUAAAUUGAACUGAGUCAGUAUAUGCUUGUCAUCUUCAAAGUUACUGGUUCCUAGCCUUUCCUAUAUGUGUUCAGUGUCUUCCAUGUCAAUGUAACCUCAAGAAUUAGAUACAUAAGAAUCUACUUACUUUUUCUAGGUCAGAUUCGAUCUGUGAUGGAUUCCUAUUCGAUCUACUCGACGCAACAAUUUGGUAGGUAUCAUGUUGACUGUUUUGUGAUUUGUGCGCUAUGACAUGGGCAGAUUCUUCGACGAACCAUUGCUGACGCUGCAAAGGCCAGAGUUGUACUUCCACAACCCACUACGGACUUGUACCGAACAAGAUAACGACAAUUCCACCAAUAGAUCUCUCCACAUAUCCACCAUCGCUCAAAAAGCAGCAGCAGAGUGCAUGAGAUGGUGCGGCAGCAGCAAAAAGCUAAAGCUGAAGCAAAAGUGUGAGCUUUCUUUGGUCUUGCAAUCCAUAUAGAAGUCACCCACUACUCACAUCACAUGCUUCCAGUGUUCAUCUCCUCUGUGAACACAGUUAUCUUCUUGCCAUUUCGUCUGUCGUAGAGCUUAUUCCAAGAUUCUUCACAAAGGGAUCAUUGGCUACAGCUUGGUGUUGUAGAUUCUGAGUCCGAUGUCCGGAAUAGAGCAGUCGAUGACCGGCGUCCACAGGCCGUCCGUGUCGGCGACCACCGUGGUCAUGGUCGCGGGAGUCAUCGCCUCCACCGCGCUCUUCGUCCUCGUCUUCUUCCUGUACCUGCGUGCCAAGCGCUACUGGGGUGCCAUCCCGGUCAGCAUCCGCGGCCGCUUGGCCGAGCCAGCGGCUGCCCAGCAGCGAAGCGGCCUAGACGCCGCCGCCGCCGUGGGGGCUCUCCCUUCGGUAGUGGUCCGCGCCGGGGACUGCAAGGAGGGCCUGGAGUGCGCGGUCUGCCUCUGCGAACUGUCGCGGGGCGAGGCCGCGAGGCUGCUGCCUACGUGCGGCCACGCCUUCCACAUCGAGUGCAUCGACGCGUGGUUCUCCUCCCACUCCACCUGUCCUCUCUGCCGGAGCCCCGUGGUGCACGAGAAGCCCCAAGAGGCUGGUUCCGCCGCUGAAUCGGUUCCUGGCCGCUUCCACUCGGAGGAACCGCCGCCGGAGAUAGAGGAUCAAGCUGGCCGGAGCUCGAGCCCUUCCGAUCAUCCUUCAGGUAGUACGCCGGCUGUGUCGGUGUCUGAGACACCAAGAAUAGCAGUGGACGGAUUCCAAACCCUGAAUUCUUCGGCAGCAACGUUGAGGUCGUUGCGAAGGCUGCUGAUUUGCGGAAGCAGGACGGGCGGCGCUUCCUGCAGUAGUCGAGAAUGCGACGUCGAGCAGGGACGUCUUCCCGUUUGAUAAAAGGCUGCAUGAUGCAGAAAGCAUUGUUCUUCCACUGAAACAAACGAAGCUUUUCAUCAUCUACAUUUCCAUUACAUCUGUACAGUGUCUCGAGGCAUUUAGGAGUUGCAAGCAGAGGAUUAUAGCUUCUGCACUUUUGCUGCUUCUUUUGUAAAUCUAAGUCAAUCCAUGUCGGAACAUUUGAUACUGAGUUCUCUUUAUGGCACAAAGAUCACUCGUGCUUUUCUUUCUCCUCCUCUUAUGGGAUCGGUUUUUACUUGUUGUGGCGUUGAUGGAAAUGAUCGAUCAUCCACAGAUAUUACUGCUAAUUUCAUGAUUCAGCUAAUCUGUGAAGACAUCUAUGCAAAAUGGAGCUUCCAGAUUCUGAUCUAUGUUGAUAUGCCAACUGAGCAGACCACUGAACGAUCCCAUUGAUCUUAUCCAAAUUGCUUUUGAACCACAAAUUGAUAGUUCUGAGAGUGGUAGAUAUCUUGACCGACAUGUUCUAUAAUGGGUGGCUUCCAGCAUCCUAUUCUCUCAUCCUUUUUCUUUGAAGAGAGAAACAGGUCAAUUAUUUCUUCAUUCAGAUUCUAAUCAUAUGAUCACUCGAGUUUACACGCACACAUUCAUCAAUGAAUUCGGACUACAGGAUUCCUGAUGAAUAUAUCGAGUAGAUCAUGAUAAAUAAUAUCGAAACUAAUCUAAUAUUAGAUAUGACGAGUGACUCUGGUGGUAGACUAAGACUUAAAUUCUUCAAAUGGAAAAUUCAUAAUGCUAUUAUUUCAAUAUCAUAUUUGAAAUGUGAGAAGAUUUGAGUUAAUCUAUACAAACUGAAAAACAAUUAUACUAAAUUGAAUUUAAGUUUUUUUUUUAUUAUGCUUCAAUUCAACUAGAAAAAAAAAAAACAUCGUACUCUCGAUUUAGCCUCCGUCCAAAUCUAACUAUGAUUGAGUUAGAGGUAAUAUAAGUUUUCUCUAAGAUGUUACUGCAGCUAUCACAUUCCUCUCUCGGAAUCUGCCCAAAGUGAAUGCAGAGACAGGGAGGUCCACCUCUUUGUUCUCGAGCUGCGAGACGCCCAGUGAGACGACAAGCGGCAGAACAGUGGCGACGGGUUCUUGGCCGUGCGUCUCCGUAGCUGCGGCGACCACGCACUCCGGCAGUACAGCCGACCAUGUCGAGUGGAAGCGGACGUGGCCAGAGCAUAGAACGUGAAAGGAAGUUUUGGAGUUGCAGAGCAUGAGGCCAUAAAAGAUAAACGAGUCAGGGAACUGUCAAUUAGAAGAUACCAAAUAUCAUCUGUUCAUCCAUCAUUUAUUCUCCUCCAAUGGAACUGCCACUAUUUUCCAAUUUGUGAUCAAUCUCUUUUUUUUCCUUCUUCUUGUGCUAUUUCUUGCGUAACAAGUUACAUGGUGAUGUUCCAAUCACUCCAUAUUCGAGAUAAUUAAAGGGGUGACUCAUGUUCGUCAAGGAAUCGAUAUAUACGAAGUACGAGUAUCCGACAAGAUCCAUUCGACGUUCAAGUUAGUUAAUGCUGAAAUGAAAAGUGAAAUCACGAGUAAAUAAUAUCUAACUUUUAUAAUAAUAAUAAAAUAAUAAUUUUUAUAGAUGAAAAAAUAUAUUUUUUUUUGUAAAAUGAGCAUAAUAUUUUUUUUUCCAUGGUCCAUUGUCAUAAUUAUGUUAGGGUGGCUAUCAUGCUGACUAUAUAUUUAAAUUAUACUGAUCCCACCACUUGUGACAUGAGGGGGACUACCCAACAAAUGCAGUGUUGCUGAAAAGCCUUCUCUCACAAAAAUUGAUGCAGAUGACAAGGUAGAAGAUUUUUGGUUGGGUGUACAAAGUUUCAAGAGCUUCAAUUGCUUGAUUCAGCAGUAGAAACAACCUAUGCAGCUUUGCAUGCUACUCCACAGAAAGAGCACUACCUAACAUGUGAUGUUCCAAUAUCUUCAUCUCCACCAGCCAAAGAUAAAUGCUUCAGAAGUGUGACCUGUAGUCCAUGACAACUUGUUCUUUCCCUCUGGAGAAUUGUGCAGUCGGUAAAGGUCAGAGGACUCCAAAAGUUUGUCUCAUGAAGGUUCACCAAUUGUUUGUCCUCUCUAAUGUUCAACAACACACGAUUAGUUCCAGCAAAGUGACAUCUGCCCACCACCGGCAGAAACCAAACAUGGAGAAGAAGAAGAAGAAGAAGAAGAUAGGUUUAGCAGUAAGUAAGCAAAUAAGUCAGUGCUGUCAGAAAUCCUAUGGUAGGGGAUAGGAUAAAUGAUGGCUUAAUAAUAUAUCCACCAGAUCUGUACAUCUGUUUAAUGAGCAGAUGUAUCAAACCCACACUAUUUAUUGGCAAAUCAUGGAUCUUGUAAGUCAGAUUUUGAUCAUUAUUUCCGCAUCAGAUCUCAUAUAAUCCACUAGCUUGGAUGGUUAAGACAUUCAAAUCCUCUUAAUGAUCGACCCGAUGUCGCAUCUGAUAGACAGGAUUAUUCAGCAUAGAGCUUUAAACUUCAGCCAUGGAAGUGGAUCGACCUUUCAAUUCAGCUUUUUCUUGCUCCAAACAUCUCCUGGCCUACUUGAUGCAACUGCAAAGGUGUGGCCAACUUCUGAUAGUGAUCUCUAGAGUUGCUCUUGGACUGUUUCUUAGCUUCUUCAAUUAUGCAUUCGGUUCUGGCCGUCCAAUUCUCUCUCACACACAGCACUGCCUACUCAUCUUGAUUCUAUGUUACCUCUGAUGGGUCCAACCAUUUUGAUCAUGAACAACCAAGACAACACUUGCAAACACACGAGAAUUGAGGUGGAUCCAUCCUAACUCUCUUUUUGCUGCAUAGGUUAGCUUGUCUGCAUCAGCUUUUCAUAUCAAUGGUUAAUGUGCACCCGUGCAUGCACAAACAACAGCCUGUUCAUGGUGACAUGUGUGUUUACUGUGACAACGGACUUCCGAGAUGAUCAACCUGCAGGUAAAUGGCUUUGUCAGAUCCGAUCUGCUCUCUCUGAUGAUAAAUGUGAUGACCAGAAACCAUACCUCACUCGAAGACCUGAAGUCGGAUUUCAUAUGAGACAUCGUUCAUGUGGUCUUGCUGUAAGGGCUCUAAAUUCUUGAAUGCUGCCAUUUUGCUCUUGCUGUGGUUGAUCCUCGCAAAUCUGCUGCUUGCUGAAACAAGGACAUUGUACCCCACAAAAUGCUUUUCGAUACGUUUGCGAUCGAAAGGGAGCUAAUUUUAUUGCAGCAUAAUAUGGCAUUUCAGCCUUACACAGACAGUCUGUAAACAUCAAAGACGAUUUAUUUUUCUCUUUUUAGUUUUGUCGACGAGUAGCUCUCGGCUUAAUUAAGACAAAAACUCAUGAAGGAAGCCUCCUUCUAGAUCUCGGACAUGUGAACAAACAGAUAGACUUGCCGGUGAUGCUUCUCGCUUGGAACUACUUAGCGCCAUUAAAUGCAGCUUCUCCAUCAGCUGCCAGGGGUACAGACUCGGCCUGAAAAUAAAGAUCGAGCCGAUACAAGCAUUAGCCAAGUGACAAUACGAUGAGCGACUCGAGUAAAGACACUGAUCUAGGUGUGUGGCUUUUUACCAAAUUGCGAUAUUUGAGGGCAUAGAACAUCUCAAGGUAACGGCGAGUCUCGCGCCUAUCCAGGUUGGACACAUACUUCCAGAAGCCAUAAACUCCCGACAGUGUCAUCAGCCUCUCAGAGUAGAGCUUCCAGGUAUACCUAAUUUAUUUGAAUUUAGAGUGCAAGUUAGAGAACUUUUUACAAAUCCUUGAUUUUGGCAUUCAUUGAUAAUAAGAAAGCAUCACUGAUAGGAGGAGGUCUUACUUCUCUUCGAUCCUCCGCAGCCCUCCUUGGGAAAUCUUGUCCCAGUAGGUUGGGUCUUCCUUGCACUUCCCAAAGAAAUUUAAGAUGAUAUUAGCAGCUUUGUCACCCUGGUAAGGAUCGAUGUGGAAGCCGGAAACCCCAUCUACGAUAAUUUCACCGGGUCCUCCGUGAACAGUUGCGAAUGUUGGCAGGCCACACGUCAUGGACUCGAUAACAGUGAGUCCAAAGGCUUCGUAGAAGGCCGGCUGAGGAAACGAAAGUAGAAAAAGUAGGUUAGUAGCACUUCAACUCAGAAGGUAAUUCGGCUAUCGAGUGUUCAUAGCAUGCCAUUCUUCCACAAAGUAGAGAAGUACUUGAACGAAAGCUCCUCUUGAGUCGGCAAUGUAUCUGUAGAGCUCGCCAUUGCGAACCCGGUUCAUUUGGGCAGAGAUCCAACGAAUAUGCCCAUGCAAAUUGUACUUUUCAAUGAGACUGUACAUCUUCUUAAACUCUGCUUGUUCUUCACGAUCCUUUGAUUCUUUCCCGUGGUCGCCGCCAACCACCACAAGGUUCACCAGCUCCUUCAAGCGAUCAUUCUUGCCAUAAAACUCGACCAGGCCUGUUAAGUUCUUCACACGGUCCAGUCUUGCCAUGGAGAAUAUGAUGGGUUUCUUAGUGUCAUUCAGCACACCCCUGCAAGAGACUCGAGUCAGUCACCGCGCCAAGCAAGACAAAUAUAGUAAAUGCAGUAGAAACAAUGGGUGCUUACUUGUGCUCGGUGUUAUCUUUAGGAUUGAAUAGCAGCUCCUCGAUCUCUGGGUGCAGCGAAGUGAGUCUCUUUUGCUUCUCGGUGUAUGGGAAGUAAAUAGUCAUAUCAGCCCCAGGAGAGACAAUGUUGAACUUCGGGUCGAAGACAUCAAUUCCAUGAACAACCCGGUAGAGUCCAGGAAGAGUAAAGGCAGUGUGAGACUCAUACUGCCCCACGGUGUCCUUGCUGAAAUCAUAUAAGAUAUCAGAGAAUCUCAUUUAAAUAACAAUUGUCAUUUUGGUACUCCGAGAUUAACAUAAGAAUUUUGGAGCGGAAAGCUGUUCGGUCUUAAAUCUUAAUGAUACCUUCCAGCAAUCUCCUGGAAGGUGCUGGUGAUGAUAAAAUCAGCAUGAUUCAUCGCAAUCAAGUCAGCUGUGAAUUGGCAUGAGAAAUGAUACUGAUUCUCGAACUUCUUCCAGUAGAUGUCUGAGUUAGGAUACUUUGUUUUCUCCAGCGCAUGCGCAAUGGUGCACUGUAUGUGAAAGAAAAUGAGCAUCACCAGUUCAGGAAGCUUAUAGUCAGUAGUGCCAGGGAGCAGCACCAAUAAAGCAAUUACGAACUGAAAGAUUUGAACCUGGGUUACUCCCAAUUUAUGCGCUAACAAAGUUGAUACGAGAUUCCCAUCACUGUAGUUUCCGAUGAUUAGAUCAGGAGUGGCCUGCAGUUCAGCUGCCAACUCAUUCGCAACAUCCUACAAGCAUAAAGAAGACAUGAACUUUCUAGUACAAGUUUAACAGAGCAGAUCAAGUAAUCAUGAUAUUAAGAUGUUAUUGAGGUGUGUACCUCUGUAUAGGUCUCGAGGUAAGGCCAUACUUCAAAACGGGAGAUCCAUUUGCGGACAAUUCCGUUCUCCGUUCUAAAUGGAACUCGAAGAAUAUGAGUGUGCUCAGUUCCAAGGACCUUCUCAAGUCUCUGCCCGCAAGUAGUGCCUACUGCAUCAGGAAGCAAUCUGGUAACCUGCAUCACCACAGUAACAUAAGCUCAGGCCGGCUAUGUUACCCUAUAUUAUCUUUAAGAUCUGGAGAGAAUCCAUGACCACAAGAAUUUGCCGAUCAAUCUAAUUCCAAUCUCACAAUAAGAAUUCGAGGUGUGAUAUGUAGCCCUUGACGCUUGAUCCUCAAAAGCAUCUCGUUUUCUAGAGCACGGACUUGAUCCAAGAUGUAAACAACCUGCAAAGGAGGCAUCUCGUGAGAGAUUAUUUCAAUUUGAUCAAAGUCAACGCCAGUAAAGAAGAAAUCAUACCUGACCACCGGUGUCCGGAUAACCCAAGACAUUAGCCUGGGCAAAGUAGCCAUGCGGAGAAAGGAUCACGACGUUGAACAUCAUAGGAAUUAUUCCAAGGAAAUUUUCCAAGGUGGUUGGGUCAGGGGCCUCAAGAAGAUCUAGCAGUAGAUGGAUGUUCUCAUAUACACGCCGAGCUGUGUCGCCCCAACCCUUUUCCAAGCCAAGUUCUUGAAAUCUAAAGCCAGCCAAAAAAAGAACUUUUCUGAUCACAAACGACAUCUAAAGUUCCCUCCUUUGCAUGAAAAAUAGAACUAUAUAUUUCAGUUUAUAAAUAGCCGGGGAAACAUGAACAAAAAAAGAAACAUAAUCGAUUACCUGUGGUUGAAUUCUGAGUAUGGCGUUUUCGAUGGGAUACUCAAUAAAUGUUGCUCUGCCUUCCUUAGUGCAGCUCGGAGGGCACUGAGGCUUUGUAUUCUAUCAUUCAGCAUCAUAGACUGCAAACACAACAACAACUACAUAAAUUUGCAGACUCCAGUAAAGUUAGCUAUCUAAGCCUAUAAAUUUGAAUGAUUAAGCCAUUUGAUAUAGCAGAAAUGAGUAUCGGACGUAUAAUAACACUUGCCAGUCAUCUCAAGAAAACUAAAUUUUCAGUAGUCAAAUACCAUCAGUGGAUUGCACUUCUUUCUUUCCCUCAACUACAACUCAAGUCUGAAGUUUAUAAUCUUUAUUAAGAUGCUUAAAUAGGUUUCCUGGAUUUAAGAUCCUGAACUCUAUGAUAUUAUAAAUUCGUGGGUAGAACUUCACGAACAGUACAACACACAAUUACUCAACAUCAACAAGCUAUAUAUGCAUUAUAAACCUAGAGAAGAAACAAAUACCAUGCCCUUGUAGUUAUGCUUCCUGAGGAAAUUAAGCAAGGGGUACAAGCUUUCUUUGUCUUGGAACAACUUCGAAGAAAGAUGACGGUUCAGAAACUGCACCCCAUUUCCAAUGGAUUUCGAUAGUGAGGGACGAGGAAAGGAAGCAUUGAAGGGCUCAAAAUCCAACUCCAGCACAAAGUUACUAUUUUGCGAACUGAAAGAAGGCAAGAAAGGUAACAGAAGAUCAAAUAGUUGUUCCAUGUAAAGUAAAUAAGACUCUACUGACCACACUAUAAAGAAGAAGAAAAAAG